Molecule: ribosomal RNA, 465 nt
Filed under: Vreelandella stevensii
Lineage: Bacteria; Pseudomonadati; Pseudomonadota; Gammaproteobacteria; Oceanospirillales; Halomonadaceae
Description: partial 16S ribosomal RNA
Rfam family: Bacterial small subunit ribosomal RNA
Source: RNAcentral
CCUACGGGGGGCAGCAGUGGGGAAUAUUGGACAUUGGGGGCAACCCUGAUCCAGCCAUGCCGCGUGUGUGAAGAAGGCCCUCGGGUUGUAAAGCACUUUCAGUGAGGAAGAACGCCUGGUGGUUAAUACCCAUCAGGAAAGACAUCACUCACAGAAGAAGCACCGGCUAACUCCGUGCCAGCAGCCGCGGUAAUACGGAGGGUGCGAGCGUUAAUCGGAAUUACUGGGCGUAAAGCGCGCGUAGGUGGCUUGAUAAGCCGGUUGUGAAAGCCCCGGGCUCAACCUGGGAACGGCAUCCGGAACUGUCAAGCUAGAGUGCAGGAGAGGAAGGUAGAAUUCCCGGUGUAGCGGUGAAAUGCGUAGAGAUCGGGAGGAAUACCAGUGGCGAAGGCGACCUUCUGGACUGACACUGACACUGAGGUGCGAAAGCGUGGGUAGCAAACAGGAUUAGAUACCCCAGUAGUC